This is a long non-coding RNA of Ficedula albicollis (Collared flycatcher), 1660 nucleotides long. The record is from Ensembl. NCBI's taxonomy places the organism in Eukaryota, Metazoa, Chordata, Aves, Passeriformes, Muscicapidae.
CCUCCUGUCCCCUGUACAGCGUGACCCUCUUGAUGUGCUUCCCAGAGCAAGGAUUUCUGUCUCCCCAGAGCAUCCCUCCUUCCAUCCAAGCACCCAACCCAGCCUGAGCAGGGCGCAGAGAGAAGGUCCCCGGAGCCUGGCUGUGCUGGGCAGGGCUGGGGAGGGGGGCUGAAGCCCCUGAGGCUGAGCUGGGACCAGCCUGUCCCCUGCUCUGAGUGCCAGAGUUGUGAGGAGGUGCUGGGGACAGGCUGGGGAGGGUGAGGGGGGACCUGUGCAGUCCCCACACAUGGAAGGAGUGGAGCAGGGGUUGCCAGGAGGGGCAGAGGGGUCUGGGCAGCCCCGUGCCCCAUUGUCUGCUCUCUAUCCCAGUAGAAAAUGAGAGCAGGGGCCAGCAGUGUGCCCUUGGGGUCACGGCUCAUCCCGAGAUGCUGCUGCUGUGCCUGGGCUACUGGCACUGGGAUCCCCUGUGCUGCCAGUCUCCUCCUUGCAAGCUCAUGCUCCUCAGGGACUGUCCCAGGCUGCUCAGAGGUCAGUGGCCAAGGCCAUGAGCCCACCCAGUGUCCUGGAGCUUUGUGGUGUUUUGCAAUCAUUGACGGCUCUUGGUGUGCAAGGGUUCGACCCUUCUGCUCUCGGGCUGUUUUUGGGUCUGAGCAUCUCAGCCCAAAGUGCUGGGCUGAGUGCUUUGUGCUAGUUUCCUUCUUGGGGAGGGUGACUGUGGUGGAAGAUGCCCUGCCGAUGUGUCAGACUGGGCAGUGCUGGGGGUGGGAGCGUGGCCAGUGCUGCCCCAGCCUUCCCACAGGGGUGCUCCACACCCACUGUGGGGCCUCCAGGAGCUGUGCCCUGUCAGCUCCUCCACCUGUGCUUCUCAGAGAGCUGGGAUUGAUGGCUGCUCACGGCAGGUAAGGCUCAGCAGGCUCCAGCAGAGCCCGGACACACGCCGGGUGAUGGACACCCGUAACCGGCUGUUCUCCCGCUCCAGCAACGCCGUGGGGAUGCUCCAGAGCAGCACGACACAACUGGGGCACAGUUAAUGGGCACAUCCAUCAAUUCACCCACCAUGGAGACACGAGGGAAGCUCUGCCAGCCACCCUCCACCGCGCUGCCCUUCACUCCAGGCUGCGAGUGCCGGUGCAUCCCAAUUCCUCACACAAGCAGGGUCUGGCCACACGCUGCCCCAGGGCACUGCCACCACCUCUUUGCACCUUCCAGCCCUGCCUUGCCCCCUUCCCAGCCCAGCAGCAGUGCCAGUGCGAUGAGCUCUCCCAGUGUCCCUGCCCCUGUGCCCUGGACACUUCAGAGUGGGGUCAGCGCUGCGGAAAACUUCCAGCUUCCCGUGGCACCUGUCACUCCCUGAGGAAAGGCACCCAAAUCACCUCCACUGUCCUGCUGACACAGUCCUGCAGCUCUGGGCUGCUGCUGGAGGGUGCAGCUGAUUGAUCCCUGGCCCGCGGCAGGGAACAACUUUGCCGUGCAGGAGGAGCAGCUCCCCAGAGGAGGAGGUGGGGUUAUCCCCACCCAGCUUUGGGGGACCAAAUGCAGCUGGAGGUAAAGGGGGUGGGAGAUCCCUUGGCACUUUCAGGAUGCUUGUUAAAGUGUUGCUGGCAAAAAAGUUGAGGAGAGCAGUGGGAUCACAGAGGAGACCCCGUGGGACACAACAAGG